UUGCGUGGGGGAGAAAAAAUCUGGGAACUGAAUCAUCUUAGUACCAGAAAAAGAAAAUCAACCGAGAUCCCAAAAGUAGUGAGAACGAAAAUGGGUAAAUUUAUCGAACAAAGAGGGUAAGUAUUAUACAGUCCCGUAGAUAGAACAUUUGGGGAGGAGUACCCGGGGGAGGACCCGUCCCCCAAAGAUAUGGAAAGGAGCCAUUUUGACGACGGGGCCCCGCCCUCUAUAAACCAAAGGAUGGAAAUACCGAUAGUGAAAUAGUACUGUGAAGGAAAGUUGAAAGAGAGUUGAAAUAGAACCGGAAAUCCUAAAAAAAAAGCAGUAGAUCUAUAGAGUCUACGUACCUUUUGCAUAAGUGGUUCGCAAGUUAUUAAUUUGGCAAACUAGAAUCGUAAGGUUGAGGUGUUACGAAAGUGAAAAAAGUCAAAUGAACCCGAAACCAAGUGAUCUACCCCUGAUCUGGCGCGGGCGAAGGGUCCAAAAGGGCUCCGUGCUGCGGCCUAACCGGUGGAUGUGGCAAAAUCCUCGGAUGAAUUGGGGGUAGUGGUGAUAUGCCAAUCGCACUUGGAUAUAGCUGGUUUUCUGCGAAAACUAUCUAAGUAGUGCCGACACUCCCUUAUUUUUGUCGAGUCAGACAUUGGACGAUAAGGCCCUAUGUCUAAUGGGAAACAACCCUAAUCAUUAGUUAAGGACAUUAAUAUAA
RNAcentral lists this ribosomal RNA (706 nucleotides) under Placozoan sp. BZ49. RNAcentral describes it as "large subunit ribosomal RNA". It matches the Rfam family "Bacterial large subunit ribosomal RNA", at positions 167 to 1056 of the family's 2925-position model. The record is from RNAcentral. Lineage: Eukaryota; Metazoa; Placozoa.